CUUAGUAACGAAGCUAACGCGUGAAGUUGACCGCCUGGGGAGUACGGUCGCAAGAUUAAAACUCAAAGGAAUUGACGGGGACCCGCACAAGCGGUGGAUGAUGUGGAUUAAUUCGAUGCAACGCGAAAAACCUUACCUACCCUUGACAUGUCCGGAAUCCUGCAGAGAUGCGGGAGUGCCCGAAAGGGAAUCGGAACACAGGUGCUGCAUGGCUGUCGUCAGCUCGUGUCGUGAGAUGUUGGGUUAAGUCCCGCAACGAGCGCAACCCUUAUCAUUAGUUGCUACGCAAGGGCACUCUAAUGAGACUGCCGGUGACAAACCGGAGGAAGGUGGGGAUGACGUCAAGUCCUCAUGGCCCUUAUGGGUAGGGCUUCACACGUCAUACAAUGGUCGGUACAGAGGGUUGCCAAGCCGCGAGGUGGAGCCAAUCCCAGAAAGCCGAUCGUAGUCCGGAUUGUUCUCUGCAACUCGAGAGCAUGAAGUCGGAAUCGCUAGUAAUCGCGGAUCAGCAUGUCGCGGUGAAUACGUUCCCGGGUCUUGUACACACCGCCCGUCACACCAUGGGAGUGGAAUCUGCCAGAAGUAGGUAGCCUAACCGCAAGGGGGGCGCUUA
Molecule: ribosomal RNA, 613 nt
Filed under: uncultured bacterium
Lineage: Bacteria
Description: bacterial SSU rRNA
Rfam family: Bacterial small subunit ribosomal RNA
Source: RNAcentral